GGAUUCCCCUAGUAACUGCGAGUGAAGCGGGAAGAGCUCAAAUUUCGAAUCCCAUGGACUCGUGGCCAUGGGAGUUGUAAUCUAGAGAAGCGUCUUCCGCGCUGGACCGUGUACAGGUCUCCUGGAAGGGAGCAUCGUAGAGGGUGACAGUCCCGUCUUCGACACGACGCCCAGGGCUAUGUGAGGCGCUCUCGACGAGUCGAGUUGUUUGGGAAUGCAGCUCCAAAGGGGUGGUAGACUCCAUCUAAAGCUAAAUACGGGCGAGAGACCGAUAGCGAACAAGUACCGUGAGGGAAAGAUGAAAAGAACUUUGGAAAGAGAGUUAAACAGUACGUGAAAUCGCUGGAAGGGAAACGCUCCGAGUCAGUCGCGUCCGCCGGGGAUCAACCCUGCUUCACGUGGGGCGUACUUCCCGACGGACGGGUCAGCAUCGAUCUCGGUCGUCGUACAAGGACGACGGCGAAAGUGGCACUCCCCGGAGUGUGUUAUAGCCCGUGGUUCGCAUGCGACGACCCGGGAUCGAGGAACUCGACACGGACGGGGCCUCGGCCCGCGUCGGCGUGUCCAGGAUGUUGGCGUAAUGGCUUCGAGCGACCCGUCUUGAAACACGGACCAAGGAGUCCAACGUGCCUGCGAGUGUUCGGGUGGCAAACCCGGGCGCGUAACGAAAGUGAAAGUCGGGACCCUCGUCGCGGGGGGCACCGACGCCCGGACCGGA
This 718-nucleotide ribosomal RNA is filed under the name Gyroporus longicystidiatus. RNAcentral's name for it is "partial large subunit ribosomal RNA". It matches the Rfam family "Eukaryotic large subunit ribosomal RNA", at positions 72 to 774 of the family's 3401-position model. Lineage: Eukaryota; Fungi; Basidiomycota; Agaricomycetes; Boletales; Gyroporaceae. The record is from RNAcentral.